Molecule: transfer RNA, 73 nt
Filed under: Vampirovibrionales bacterium
Lineage: Bacteria; Bacillati; Candidatus Melainabacteria; Vampirovibriophyceae; Vampirovibrionales
Also listed under: 3 other names
Description: tRNA-Lys
Rfam family: tRNA
About the family: Transfer RNA (tRNA) molecules are approximately 80 nucleotides in length.
Source: RNAcentral
GCGCCAUUAGCUCAGUUGGUAGAGCAUUCCCCUUUUAAGGGACAGGUCCUGCGUUCGAGUCGCAGAUGGCGCA